CACCGCGUAGUGUAGUGGUUAGCACGCUCGACUGACAAUCGAGAGGCCCAGGUUCGAGUCCGGCUGCGGCGA
Molecule: transfer RNA, 72 nt
Filed under: Portunus trituberculatus (swimming crab)
Lineage: Eukaryota; Metazoa; Arthropoda; Malacostraca; Decapoda; Portunidae
Description: tRNA-Val
Rfam family: tRNA
About the family: Transfer RNA (tRNA) molecules are approximately 80 nucleotides in length. Their secondary structure includes four short double-helical elements and three loops (D, anti-codon, and T loops). Further hydrogen bonds mediate the characteristic L-shaped molecular structure. tRNAs have two regions of fundamental functional importance: the anti-codon, which is responsible for specific mRNA codon recognition, and the 3' end, to which the tRNAs corresponding amino acid is attached (by aminoacyl-tRNA synthetases). tRNAs cope with the degeneracy of the genetic code in two manners: having more than one tRNA (with a specific anti-codon) for a particular amino acid; and 'wobble' base-pairing, i.e. permitting non-standard base-pairing at the 3rd anti-codon position.
Source: RNAcentral